CCUACGGGAGGCAGCAGUGAGGAAUAUUGGUCAAUGGACGAGAGUCUGAACUAGCCAAGUAGCGUGAAGGAUGACUGCCCUAUGGGUUGUAAACUUCUUUUAUAUGGGAAUAAAAUGUUCCACGUGUGGGAUUUUGUAUGUACCAUAUGAAUAAGGAUCGGCUAACUCCGUGCCAGCAUCCGCGGUAAUACGGAGGAUCCGAGCGUUAUCCGGAUUUAUUGGGUUUAAAGUGAGCGUAGGUGGAUUGUUAAGUCAGUUGUGAAAGUUUGCGGUUCAACCGUUAAAUUGCAGUUGAAACUGGAAGUGUUGAGUACAGUAGAGGUGGGCGGAAUUAGUGGUGUAGCGGUGAAAUGCUUAGAUAUCACGAAGAACUCCGAUUGCGAAGGCAGCUCACUGGACUGCAACUGACACUGAGGCUCGAAAGUGUGGGUAUCAAACAGGAUUAGAUACCCCUGUAGUC
RNAcentral lists this ribosomal RNA (460 nucleotides) under uncultured bacterium. RNAcentral describes it as "partial 16S ribosomal RNA". It matches the Rfam family "Bacterial small subunit ribosomal RNA", at positions 338 to 795 of the family's 1533-position model. The record is from RNAcentral.